This 475-nucleotide long non-coding RNA is filed under the name Homo sapiens (human). Its description in RNAcentral is "non-protein coding lnc-TPGS2-9:1". The record is from RNAcentral. Lineage: Eukaryota; Metazoa; Chordata; Mammalia; Primates; Hominidae.
CAGGCUGACAACGCAAGCCUCAGUACCAACGGGCUCGGCAGCAGCCCGGGCAGUGCCGGGCACAUGAACGGAUUAAGCCACAGCCCGGGGAACCCGUCGACCAUUCCCAUGAAGGACCACGAUGCCAUCAAGCUGUUCAUUGGGCAGAUCCCCCGCAACCUGGAUGAGAAGGACCUCAAGCCCCUCUUCGAGGAGUUUGGCAAAAUCUACGAGCUUACGGUUCUGAAGGACAGGUUCACAGGCAUGCACAAAGAUGCAAGGAGGCUGGUACUAUCAUCAUCCUCAUUUUACAGAUGAGGACACCGAGGCACAGAGCACCUGAGCGACUUGCCCAGUAAAUCCCCAAUUUGAGACCCUGGUUCUUAAUCCUUUAGUACCCACCUCCACCUGGGUCAUCCUACCCUAGAGCCUCCAUCCUCUGGGAAAGUAGCAAUUUGGGGUAAAAAAAUAAUAAUAAAGGAAUGAGCUAAGAGUA